This 425-nucleotide ribosomal RNA is filed under the name uncultured bacterium. RNAcentral's name for it is "bacterial SSU rRNA". It matches the Rfam family "Bacterial small subunit ribosomal RNA", at positions 355 to 796 of the family's 1533-position model. The record is from RNAcentral.
UAGGGAAUUUUCCACAAUGGGGGCAACCCUGAUGGAGCAACGCCGCGUGCAGGAUGAAGGCUUUCGGGUCGUAAACUGCUUUUAUGUACGACGAUUAUGACGGUAAUACAUGAAUAAGGAUCGGCUAACUCCGUGCCAGCAGCCGCGGUCAUACGGAGGAUCCAAGCGUUAUCCGGAAUUACUGGGCGUAAAGAGUUGCGUAGGUGGCAGAGUAAGUUAGUAGUGAAAUCGUGUGGCUCAACCAUACAUCCAUUACUAAAACUGCUCAGCUAGAGUAUGGAAGAGGUAGCUGGAAUUUCUAGUGUAGGAGUGAAAUCCGUAGAUAUUAGAAGGAACACCGAUGGCGUAGGCAGGCUACUGGUCCAUUACUGACACUAAGGCACGAAAGCGUGGGGAGCAAACGGGAUUAGAUACCCGCGUAGUCC